UAAAAAAAAAGUUGCGUACUUGUGUGCCCAACAAUAAUCCGUUUUUAGCAUAUUUUUAAUCAGUAUUUCUAUGGAUAUACAGGAUGACAACUAUUUUACUACGAUGUUGCGCUCGGUCGUAAAUAUUUUUUUUACUUUAGGGCAAGAAUUUGGGCAAUUGCUUCUGGCAGAGAAGAUUUGAUAACAAAGGAGAACCUCCAUACUCUUUCUUAUAAAAUUUGUGGGAGGCAUUUUGAAAACAAGAUGUUUCUAAACGAUUUACACAACAGACUACAACAAAAUGCAGUGCCCACUUUAUUCGCAGCGCUAGAAGGCACAUCUUCAGAUUCAACCAGAAAAAUAUGCCAAGAUUUAGAUGAAUCUUUUCCGCAUUCAUCCGAUAUGACCUCUGUUAUAACUUUUUCUCCAACGCUAGAAGACACAUCUUCGCAUUCAACGAAAGAAUUAUGUCAAGAUGAAACUUUACCACAAUCAUCCGAUGUAGCUUCUGUAGGUACUUUGUUUCCUGCACUAGAAAGCACAUCUUCGCAUUCAAC
This is a long non-coding RNA of Anthonomus grandis grandis, 536 nucleotides long. RefSeq lists it as uncharacterized. The record is from RefSeq and is a predicted model, not a curated record. The transcript is spliced from 3 exons. Lineage: Eukaryota; Metazoa; Arthropoda; Insecta; Coleoptera; Curculionidae.